This 358-nucleotide unclassified non-coding RNA is filed under the name soil metagenome. Its description in RNAcentral is "partial contains 5.8S ribosomal RNA, internal transcribed spacer 2, and large subunit ribosomal RNA". The stretch from base 1 to 120 matches the Rfam family "5.8S ribosomal RNA", at positions 35 to 154 of the family's 154-position model. The record is from RNAcentral.
GAUGAAGAACGUAGCGAAAUGCGAUAAGUAAUGUGAAUUGCAGAAUUCAGUGAAUCAUCGAAUCUUUGAACGCACAUUGCGCCCGCCAGUAUUCUGGCGGGCAUGCCUGUUCGAGCGUCAUUUCAACCAUCAAGCCCCCGGGCCUGUGUUGGGGACCUGCGGCUGCCCGCAGGCCCCGAAAACCAGUGGCGGGCUCGCUGUCACCCCGAGCGUAGUAGCAACACCUCGCCCAGGGAGUGCCGCGGGCACCGGCCGUAAAACCUCCUCUCGCCCCCCCCGCGGGAGGGAACCCCCCAAAGGUUGACCUCGGAUCAGGUAGGAAGACCCGCUGAACUUAAGCAUAUCAAUAAGCGGAGGA